This 262-nucleotide unclassified non-coding RNA is filed under the name Glomeraceae sp. RNAcentral's name for it is "partial contains 5.8S ribosomal RNA and internal transcribed spacer 2". The stretch from base 1 to 71 matches the Rfam family "5.8S ribosomal RNA", at positions 84 to 154 of the family's 154-position model. The record is from RNAcentral. Lineage: Eukaryota; Fungi; Glomeromycota; Glomeromycetes; Glomerales; Glomeraceae.
GUGAAUCAUCGAAUUUUUGAACGCAAAUUGCACUCUCUGGUAUUCCGGAGAGUAUGCCUGUUUGAGGGUAAGUAUUAAUAACAAUCGGGGUGUUGCUCCUUUGUGACGCUCCGGAGUUUGGGUAAUUUUAAUAUCUUUUAGGUAAUAAGCGGAAAAAAAUUGACUCUUUUUGAGCAUUUUAGAUGAACUUAAAUUAUUUUUUUUAUUCGUCUGUCUUAAUGAUACAUAUCCUUUUAGAUGCGACCUGAUCGUGAGGUUUCGG